ACCGCUGAAUACACGAGUAAAGUAACCGAGGAUGGAGGAGUGAUGACUACUAGGAACAGCGUCCGCCUGAUGCAUCGGCGCCAUCGUUGGCCCAUGUUUGCUGGUGGCUCCUACCAAAACAUGCCACGAACAGCGACAGGCACGGCUGCUUUUAACACCAGCCAGUGAUCAAUCAAGUGGGCAGAGGUCUCCAGCUCGCAUGAAUUCAACUGCGCAAACCAAAGCAUUAAUGGUAGCCGUAGCUCACACAUAUAAUUUAUUUAUUUGGCUAAUCGCUGUAAUGAUUCCG
Molecule: long non-coding RNA, 289 nt
Filed under: Populus trichocarpa (black cottonwood)
Lineage: Eukaryota; Viridiplantae; Streptophyta; Magnoliopsida; Malpighiales; Salicaceae
Description: long non-coding RNA (PTRI_LNC003626)
Source: RNAcentral